RNAcentral lists this long non-coding RNA (380 nucleotides) under Triticum aestivum (bread wheat). RNAcentral's name for it is "long non-coding RNA (TAES_LNC010734)". Lineage: Eukaryota; Viridiplantae; Streptophyta; Magnoliopsida; Poales; Poaceae. The record is from RNAcentral.
UACGGGAUAGAGAUCAACCUAACAAAAGUCCCUACGGCCAAGUGCAGAAUUGCAAGCAGAACAGAAGCAUGCUAGAUACUGUAGUACUUCCUAGUAGUAGCUAGGUAGCAUUAAACACAAAGCAUGCAUAAAACAACACACGAUGAAGUAGAAGAGAACUGAUGAUGAACUGGCCGUUUCCAUCAUAGUACAAGCAGAUCCCAGAAUGCAUGCUACUAGCUCCACGUCCGUGUCCGUACGUCUUCCUCCGGCGCAGGUCCGCUCCACAGCAAGCCUUCUUCCACGGGACGCCGACAGAAUCGUCGAGGACCACCACCUAGGCAAAGACAUCCGGCCGGCAGAUUAGCCCGGACGGUACAAGCACAACCAACACAGACCCC